CUGCAGGGUCCGGAAAAGAAAGAGAAACGGCCCAGCGCGGUCGCUCACAAAAUUCAGGGCGGGGCUGCCCUCGGCGCCCGAAAGCUUUUUGUUUUUUGUUUUUUUUUGAAACGGAGUUUCGCUCUUGUUGCCCAGGCUGGAGUGCAGUGGCGCGAUCUCGGCUCACAGCAACCUCCGCCUCCCGGGUUCAAGUGAGUCUCCUGCCUCAGCCUCCCGACUAGCUGGGAUUACAGGCAUGCGCCACCCCCGGCUAAUUUUGUAUUUUUAGUAGAGGCGGGGUUUCUCUAUGUUGGUCAGGCUGGUCUGGAAAUCCCGACCUCAGGUGAUCCGCCCGCCUCGGCCUCCCAAAGUGCUGGAAUUACAGGCUUGAGCCACCGCGCACGGCUUUGCCCGCAAGCGUUUUGAAUUUUGUGGCCCGGAAUUCACUGCGAGGACUGGGAUCACCCAUCACCCUUCCCUGGUCUACGGAAAAUGAAACGUGUUUACUGAUACAGAAACGGAAUAACGGCACUUUGGGCUGGGGAGGGCCGAGCUGCCUCAGGCUUCUGGUCUCCAGCUGCGCGGCACUCACACCUGCCGCUGUGAAAAUGCAGACCCGCGGGGCAGGAAUUCCGAGUCCAGGCUGGAGCGCGAUCUGGAAUCUGACUCGCUGGAAACAGCACCGCGGUGGAUUCGGACCUGGGGUUGGGGCCUGGAGAGACAGAGGCUGCCACUGAUUCUCUGAAUUCCAGCUUCCCUUGUCAGUCACGCAGCUGAAAGCAGGAAGAAGCUUUCUCUUCUGCACUUGGAACAACAAGGUGAAGAUGACAGAGAGUCCCACAUCUACCAUGGAAAAGGCAAUGGUCCCUAAAUCAUGCCAAGUUUUCUAAUGACAUGUGUUUUCCCGCAACAUGUAACUAUAUGUCCUCCCUUCAAGCACCAGUUAUCACAGUACAAACACAGCAACAGCAUAAAGGAAUGACUACUGAGCCUGAAGCUCUGAUGGAUGCUCUGAGUUGAGACUUUGUUUUAUACUUAGGUACCUGUGAGUCAUUGCAGAGUUUUGCCUGACUCCACCAUGACCCAAUUUGAUCAAGGUCUAUAUGCUAUGAGACCUCUCUAGUUCCUCAUCAGAAAUUAUAAUGAAUACCAUGUCCAGCUCCUGAGGUGCCUGAUGGCAACGAGCGGCAGCUCCUCUUGGGGCAACACUUUGGGGGUGACCAAGGCCUCACAGACCUCACUACUGCUGGGCUACAUGGCCCAAGGCUCCUGGGCGCAAUGGAUCGGUGGUCUUGGAUUCGCCUCGGACAUUUAAUGACAUUUGUUCUUGGGCUUUCACAAGUGGUCUCUGGUUGAGAUGGAAGGAAAGGACGCAGGGACACAAAAUCUCUGACUGCCCAGGGACCCCCUCACCGUCCUCACUUCCACUCAAGACGACAUGGCCGUUCCACUAAAUUCCCGAGGACAUGGCCAACAUGAGUAACAACACAGGGAAGUGCCUUACACAGAGUUCCAUGGAAGCCUGGCUAGUACCCUCUAGACCAUUUACCUACACCUGUUGGGAUCUCUCUAGCAUGAAAUGCUCCAGAGGCAGUCAUGCCAUAAGCUUGGAUCCUCCAGCCAUUGAGUGUGAGGGUCUUAGCCCGGUCUAAAUGAGCACUGAAUUCUAGAGAGACCAAGGGACUGUCUAAGUUCUGAAUUCUGAGUCCUGAAUCCUGGAAGUUGGCUUCUGGCCAGGGAGCAGGUGUUACUGCCUCUGAUCCACAAAAGCAGCCCCACAGCUCAAGUUGCUCUUCUGGAUUUCUCCCCUCUCCUGGUUCCUGGCCAGGCAAAUCUUCACUGCUUUGUUAGCCCAUCCAUUUGCUCAACCAGAUUUUUCAAAUAUGUAUGUUUUCCUCCUUUUCCCAUUGUACUCAGUGGAAGGAAUGGUCUAAAUUACCUAAUCAGCAAUUCCUGGAAACCAAGCCACCAUGUACAUACAAUCUUAUACGUUAAUGUCACAUACAAGAAAGAAAAUGCAGAGGUACCAGUAGUGGCUACCUAAGCAGUGUAAUGUAGAGGUAAUAAAAACGAAUUGUUGGAUAGUAUC
Long non-coding RNA from Homo sapiens (human), 2068 nucleotides. Ensembl annotates it as MICB divergent transcript. Its record names the gene MICB-DT. NCBI's taxonomy places the organism in Eukaryota, Metazoa, Chordata, Mammalia, Primates, Hominidae. The record is from Ensembl.